GCAAUAUAUAGCCUAUCCAAUCCAAGUGUCAACCUCACCUACGCGCGGUGAAUCUUGUUAUAAAUAUAUGCGAGUAUAUAUAGCAGGCGAGGCUCUGGCGACCCCAACUUUUUGGCGGGGGAGAAAAUAGUUUAAAACAUCGUAAAAUUAUGACAAAGAAGAUCAAACAAAAUCCGCAUCCACACAACAUUAAUGACCGACUUUUCCUUUAACGUUUGCAAGAUUGGUUGGCAGCUGAAGUUUUAUUAAAGCUAUAAAAAUAUAUGUACGAGUAUGCUAACAAAAUUUUAAUGGAAUUGGGAGCAGCUGGGCACGUUUGGAAAUCCUCAGUGGCUACUUUUUCCGAAAUUCGGCAAUAAAUUUAUUUCUUCAGCUUUGGCUACCGAAGCUUUGCUUGAUCGGCAAUGUCGGAGGAUUACACACAACAGAAAAAUUGUGAUUUAUGUGGUACUUUUUUAAACUGUGUAACAACGUGAAAAUAAAUAUAUGUAUAUCGCCCUACCUCAUUAAAAAGCCGUACAGCACGGAAAGUGGAGAGCACAAAAAGGAGAGAUGCAAGCGAUGAAGAGAUCUCUUAAUUGAGUUAUUCAACCUCUAACUGUGUCGAUUCAAUGAACUGAACAAGAAAAGCGCCUACAGCAUAUACUUCUCGGUGGUUAUAGCUAAUAAGCAGCCAAUUACACAAAUUUUUCCCACCCUACUCCGUGGGUGCAUGACAAGCUUUUGCGCACGAUGAAGAACACUGGAUCUUUCAAUUAAGGGAUUUCUCAAUGCUGAUCACAACGGCGAUAAUAUUUUUGGCUUUGCGCACUCUCUACGUAAGCUCAUUGACAAAUGAGGUUAAAAAGUGUAAAUUGAGCGAAAAAGUUUUCAAUUACGUUGCGAUUAGUUGUUGUUGUAGCAGUAUAAACAUUCCCCAUACUUACAUACAGGGAAUGCUGCUGGAGUGACAAUCCUUGGCCGGAUAUAAAUGCGAGUCGUUUCGGUAACGUAGAAUCGACUCGUGGAAACGUCGUUGCGAUCAAUGUGCAAUAAAACACAAAAACAAAACAAACCACUUGUGUACAACACCUGACAUACGAUAAAAGCAUAGAUAUACCUCCGUCCUAAUGGACGUCGACAAGACAGCCCAAACAUGCCUGACAACCUCCUCGAGCUUGUCGAACUGGUUCCUGUCCUAGCUGUCAGUGGUGGGGGACAAGACAACCGCACUGACGGGAUACGUCAGCAACUCAGACACCGCAAGGCAAACUGGAUGCAAAGCCCAAUUAUCUUGGGCAUCCUUACCACACUCCUAUGUAGCGUCGGGAUAUAUCUUCGCAAAUACAGCAGCGAGAACAACUUCAUCCAGAACAACGGCAGCAGUGAUACCCGUACAAACGGAAGACGAACUCGCGAAACUAUGGCCCAUCGACCGAAAAGCCGAGGGAGGUCAAAGUUUUUAAUAACAGGGCAAGACAUGCCUCUUACCAUAAAGCAGGCCAUCGCAGAGGGGAUAUUGUCUCCAGCGAGUACUACGUCUACUACUCUUGCUUGGCCCGGAACAUGGUAGACGCUCUUGAAGGUGUAGACCUCUUGAGGUGCAACACGUUUGCCAAAUAUGAAGCAGACAACCCGGAGCUAGCCACGUUGUGGAAGACAACUAUGGACGUGAUAUACGGGACGUACCCAGUGACCCGAACCGCAUCCCGGGCCGCAUCGGUGAUAUACGAGAAGGUCGCAAAAGAUAAAGUAGCGAACAACACCAACCCGUCUGCUGAGACAGUCUUAACACUGGUGUUCCCAACCUCCGUCUCACUCUACCUCUGAGGUUUAUCAACGUGGCGAUUAGUCGUCUUAGUUGGCGUUAGCCGAUAGUUAGGCGCCGCCCUCUGUGAGGAUCUUUUAACGGAACACUGAUUUUGGAUACACAUUUCAAACACUAUUCAAGAAGUACGUCAUCGAAAACUGAAAUAAAAACAAACUAAUCGAUUACUGAAAAAAUCAGCAGCAAACACAACUUCGGAUUUCGCCAAAGUCUCCAAGUGAUACAUACAUAAAUGCAACGUGUUGACAGCUCUAAGCAUUUGCUUACUAUGAGUAAUGCACACACAACUAAAGAAAGAUCAUAUCGCAACAAAUAACGAGUAUUUUUGCUUAGGAGUUCAAGUGUUUAUGAACUGGUUUUGAUGCACUAAAUAAAAAAAAAAAAAAAUAAAAAUAAAAACUCGCGAAUGAAUAAAUGGGCUUUUCCCACUUUUAUAAACUAAUUUUGAAAAUAAUUAAAGAUUACAUCAGAUGAGAAUUAACUUGUUAUCAUAAACAGGCAAAGAGCAUAGAGC
This is a long non-coding RNA of Anastrepha obliqua, 2321 nucleotides long. RefSeq lists it as uncharacterized. The transcript is spliced from 3 exons. The record is from RefSeq and is a predicted model, not a curated record. NCBI's taxonomy places the organism in Eukaryota, Metazoa, Arthropoda, Insecta, Diptera, Tephritidae.